GACGAACGCUGGCGGCGUGCUUAACACAUGCAAGUCGAACGGAAAGGCCCUGCUUUUGUGGGGUGCUCGAGUGGCGAACGGGUGAGUAACACGUGAGUAACCUGCCCUUGACUUUGGGAUAACUUCAGGAAACUGGGGCUAAUACCGGAUAGGAGCUCCUGCUGCAUGGUGGGGGUUGGAAAGUUUCGGCGGUUGGGGAUGGACUCGCGGCUUACCAGCUUGUUGGUGGGGUAGUGGCUUACCAAGGCUUUGACGGGUAGCCGGCCUGAGAGGGUGACCGGCCACAUGGGGACUGAGAGACGGACCAGACUCCUACGGGAGGCAACAGUCGGGAAUAUUGCACAAUGGGCGGAAGCCUGAUGCAGCAACGCCGCGUUCGUGAUGACGGCCUUCUGGUUGUAAACCGCUUUCGCCUGUGACGAAGCGUGAGUGACGGUAAUGGGUAAAGAAGCACCGGCUAACUACGUG
Molecule: ribosomal RNA, 468 nt
Filed under: uncultured bacterium
Lineage: Bacteria
Description: partial 16S ribosomal RNA
Rfam family: Bacterial small subunit ribosomal RNA
Source: RNAcentral